CCCUUAGAUGUUCUGGGCCGCACGCGCGCUACACUGAUGCAUUCAACGAGCCUAUCCUUGACCGACAGGUCCGGGUAAUCUUUGAAUCUGCAUCGUGACGGGGAUAGAUUAUUGCAAUUAUUAAUCUUGAACGAGGAAUUCCUAGUAAGCGCAAGUCAACAGCUUGCGUUGAUUACGUCCCUGCCCUUUGUACACACCGCCCGUCGCUACUACUGAUUGGAUGUUUAAGCGAGGUUCUCGAACUGCUAGCGACUUAGCUUCGGUGAGGUCGCAGUGUGGGAAGUGAACCUAGCUUUGGUGUCUAGAGGAAGUAAAAGUCGUAACA
This 325-nucleotide ribosomal RNA is filed under the name uncultured eukaryote. Its description in RNAcentral is "partial 18S ribosomal RNA". It matches the Rfam family "Eukaryotic small subunit ribosomal RNA", at positions 1470 to 1796 of the family's 1831-position model. The record is from RNAcentral.